CGUGGCAUACGGCUCAGUAACACGUAGUCAACAUGCCAGGGGACGUGGAUAACCUCGGGAAACUGAGGAUAAACCGCGAUAGGCCAAGGUUUCUGGAAUGGACCAUGGCUGAAACCUAUACGGCCCCUGGAUUGGACUGCGGCCGAUCAGGCUGUUGGUGAGGUAAUGGCCCACCAAACCUGUAACCGGUACGGGCUUUGAGAGAAGGAGCCCGGAGAUGGGCACUGAGACAAGGGCCCAGGCCCUAUGGGGCGCAGCAGGCGCGAAAACUCUGCAAUAGGCGAAAGCUUGACAGGGUUACUCUGAGUGAUGUCCGUUAAGGGCAUCUUUUGGUACCUCUAAAAAUGGUGCAGAAUAAGGGGUGGGCAAGUCUGGUGUCAGCCGCCGCGGUAAUACCAGCACCCCGAGUGGUCGGGACGAUUAUUGGGCCUAAAGCAUCCGUAGCUUGUCCUGCAAGUCUUCCGUUAAAUCCACCUGCUCAACAGAUGGGCUGCGGAGGAUACUACAGGGCUAGGAGGCGGGAGAGGCAAGCGGUACUCAGUGGGUAGGGGUAAAAUCCUCUGAUCCACUGAAGACCACCAGUGGCGAAGGCGGCUUGCCAGAACGCGCUCGACGGUGAGGGACGAAAGCUGGGGGAGCAAACCGGAUUAGAUACCCGGGUAGUCCCAGCUGUAAACGAUGCAGACUCGGUGAUGGGUUGGCUUUGCGCCA
This 711-nucleotide ribosomal RNA is filed under the name uncultured archaeon. RNAcentral's name for it is "bacterial SSU rRNA". It matches the Rfam family "Archaeal small subunit ribosomal RNA", at positions 77 to 792 of the family's 1478-position model. The record is from RNAcentral.